This 648-nucleotide unclassified non-coding RNA is filed under the name Zea mays. RNAcentral's name for it is "misc RNA Zm00001eb180310". Lineage: Eukaryota; Viridiplantae; Streptophyta; Magnoliopsida; Poales; Poaceae. The record is from RNAcentral.
AUGGCCGGACCACUCUGAGAGGACUUCACGGCAUACGCAGACGUGUGCUUCAGCAACUUCGGCGACAGGGUGAAGUACUGGAGCACCAUCAACGAGCCCAACGUCGAGACGAUCGGUGGGUACGAUCAAGGAAUCCUGCCACCACGGCGAUGCUCGUCCCCCUUCAGCUUCGGCUGCGAGGAAGGCAACUCCACCAUGGAGCCAUACGUAGCGGCGCACCACCGCUUGCUUGUGCACGCGUGUACAGUGUCCCUGUACAGAGACAAGUACCAAGCUGAGCAAGGAGGACGGAUUGGACUGACCUUGCUUGGUUGGUGGUACGAUCCUAGGACUCAGACUCCCAACGAUGUCGCGGUAGCCGCAAGGAUGGACGAUUUCCACAUCGGAUGGUUCAUGCAUCCUAUGGUGUUCGGGGACUACCCUCCGGUGAUGAGGAAGAACGUCGGGUCCAGGCUGCCGACCUUCACGGACGAGGAGGCGGCGCGAGUGAGGGGGUCUUUCAACUUCGUCAGAUUCAACCACGCUCUAACGCGACCUCCAAGGAACUGGAUUGAAGCUGCUUGUCGCGUUGUCGGGCAAAGGUUUCGGCUGUGGCGGUGCUGGAGGGGGAUAGGGACGAGAGAAGACUCCGAAUUCGAGAUGGAAUAG